UUAUUUUUUUCUUACCAACAUACAUGCUUUUUGCUAUUGUUUAAGACCAUUUCAUGUUUAUGUUUAUGUUUAAGGCAAUGACGAGCAGUCAACAUGUGAGAAAGAAUUGACUAAUGCAACAGAGAUGCAACUUACUUUCAUCUGUGAAACUUCUGGUGUUAUUAGAAAGAGUAUAUCCAUGAACAUUAUUAAAGAAUGUUAUUUUACGUGAAGUAUUCAGAAAUAUUCCCUACACUUUGAAUGUUUAAGAAAUAAUACUUACAUUGCCAUUUUCAAAUUAAACUUGUCACAAAAUCUCAAAGCAUAACAGUGAAACAAAGGGAUUGUUUUUCAGAAACAAAGAAGUGUCUUAAAACUACUCAACACAAUUUGAAUCUUUCCUGAAACUUGAUCUACAUAUUUCCCGGCAAUGUAUUUUUACCAACCUUCAAACUAAACUUCUUUGUUAAAUGUAUGACUUGAUGGCGAUGUCGGAUAUGAAACUACUGAGAAACUCUGAAACAAGGUGUCCUACUCUCAGCCCAAGAUCUAUCUGUAGGAUGGCAAUAGCUGGUAGCCUGCAUACAGAUUUUACAUACUUUGGCACGAUAAAUAAAAAUCUGUCACAAGCUUAGUGGUCUACAUAGGGUGGUGGCAAUCCUGAGAAGACAAGAGGACAGAGCAAAACCCAAGUUCGAAUUGAGGGAGACAUGGAAUACAGCAACUUUUCUCAGUAAAUAAAGGCAAGAUUCAAGAUCA
RNAcentral lists this long non-coding RNA (738 nucleotides) under Felis catus (domestic cat). Its description in RNAcentral is "lncRNA (ENSFCAG00000041562.2)". Lineage: Eukaryota; Metazoa; Chordata; Mammalia; Carnivora; Felidae. The record is from RNAcentral.